GAACGGCAGCACGGAGCUUGCUCUGGUGGCGAGUGGCGAACGGGUGAGUAAUAUAUCGGAACGUACCCUAGAGUGGGGGAUAACGUAGCGAAAGUUACGCUAAUACCGCAUACGAUCUAAGGAUGAAAGUGGGGGAUCGCAAGACCUCAUGCUCGUGGAGCGGCCGAUAUCUGAUUAGCUAGUUGGUAGGGUAAAAGCCUACCAAGGCAUCGAUCAGUAGCUGGUCUGAGAGGACGACCAGCCACACUGGAACUGAGACACGGUCCAGACUCCUACGGGAGGCAGCAGUGGGGAAUUUUGGACAAUGGGCGAAAGCCUGAUCCAGCAAUGCCGCGUGAGUGAAGAAGGCCUUCGGGUUGUAAAGCUCUUUUGUCAGGGAAGAAACGGUGAAAGCUAAUAUCUUUUGCUAAUGACGGUACCUGAAGAAUAAGCACCGGCUAACUACGUGCCAGCAGCCGCGGUAAUACGUAGGGUGCAAGCGUUAAUCGGAAUUACUGGGCGUAAAGCGUGCGCAGGCGGUUUUGUAAGUCUGAUGUGAAAUCCCCGGGCUCAACCUGGGAAUUGCAUUGGAGACUGCAAGGCUAGAAUCUGGCAGAGGGGGGUAGAAUUCCACGUGUAGCAGU
RNAcentral lists this ribosomal RNA (623 nucleotides) under Janthinobacterium sp. bw1. RNAcentral's name for it is "bacterial SSU rRNA". It matches the Rfam family "Bacterial small subunit ribosomal RNA", at positions 64 to 682 of the family's 1533-position model. Lineage: Bacteria; Pseudomonadati; Pseudomonadota; Betaproteobacteria; Burkholderiales; Oxalobacteraceae. The record is from RNAcentral.